Long non-coding RNA from Neogale vison (American mink), 1663 nucleotides. RefSeq lists it as uncharacterized. Lineage: Eukaryota; Metazoa; Chordata; Mammalia; Carnivora; Mustelidae. The transcript has 2 exons. The record is from RefSeq and is a predicted model, not a curated record.
UGGGAUGUUCGGUGGAACUGGCUGUGAAAGUCAUCAGGAAAGCAGAAUCUUGGCUCUGUCCUUGCAAGAGAAUGAAGCUGAAAACCACAGAGCGGAGGGUCCCUUUGUUUGGAAGUUUGUUUUGAACUUUGAGACUCCAGAAGGGAGAUAAACACGUCUCACUCGGAAACAGGCAAAUGCUCCUGGGUGUUGGAAAACCAGGUGGGAAAACCAUUGGGAGACAGAUUUUCCAUCUUCUUCAAGGGGUGAAUGGGCUGCCUCCCUUAUGCUUCUCUUCGGCUCCAAGAGCCCCCUUGUCUCCUAACUUCCGGUCCCUGACGGGGGUGCCUUCUAGCUUUUGUCCCCAUUUUCUGACCCUCUCAUUGCUCUCCCUGACGAACCCAGCCUUAGUCUCCCCGGCUUUUCCUCUCAGUUGCCUUCCUCUCUCUCCCAUCCAGCUGCAUCCCAUUUUUCUUGCUUCUGUGUGAGCCUGUCCCGCGCCACCCCACUCCUGUGCCCCCCUGCCCAUUCAGGAAUACUCCCUGACUCACCUUCAUCUGGGCACAAAAUCCUUCUGGCCUAUGAGGUGUGGCAAUGGUGGGAAGAGGCGCUUGUGAUCCAGUGGUUUCUGCUUGCCAUCCCUAGACUAUUUGAAUAUCUCGCCAGGAUUCUGCCUCGCAGCGCCCUCCCUGCUGUGCCUUCCUCGAACAGCCAGUCAUUUCUUCAGGAUUCCCUCAAGCCCCGCCUUCUCCUGGAAGCCCUCCUCUGAGCUCCUCGAGCACUGACCGCCCGGGCCAGUCAGUAUCUUCUGCCCACCCCUCCACUGGGCCCCCUGCACAGAAGGAGUCCCUGGCCUUGCCGUGAGAUUGUCCAUCUUGGAACUUUGCACAGGCUGUUCCCUACACCUGCUUUGCUCUGCCCCUGUUUCUUUGCAAAGCUGGAAACUCCUCUCCCUCUAGGUCUUCGCUUAAUUGCUACCUCCCUAGAGAGGCCUUGCAUGACCAGCUAGCUAAAGUAUCCCGAGAGAAUCUUUAAUUAAUGGGUGGAGUGAAAGCCUCUCAGACAACACGGACUUACUCAUCUCAGAGUUCAGUUGAAUUAACUCCCAUGCCCUCCUACCCUAAGCUGGCUCGUUUCCCUCUUUAUUCACUUGGCUCUUUAAGACCUAACUUCUAUCUCUGGAUAUGAGCUUCCAGUAUAUCCUUUAGGAUCUGCUGUGGGCGCACCUCUUUCAUAGGUAUUAAAAAUUACGAGUGGGUCUUCGUGGUGGGGCAACGGAAGCGUCCAGUGCUGUCCUGCGCAAGAGAAAAGCAUCAGCAAUCGGAGGACACGAGUUUCGGGUUUGCCCUCACUUCCUCGCUACGUGACCUUGGGCGACCAAUUAAUUCUUGUUGCCUGAAUCUACUCCGCUAUUCAGUAAGGAGUAACAAUUGCCUUUAAACAUUAUUCUAAUACAUAUUAUAACUAUCCCUGUCCUGUGUCUACCUCAGGGUUGUUCUGGGAAUGCAGUGAAAAACGAUGUGCUUUGUGAAUGAAAGUCUAUGCAAAGUAGGUGAUGAUUAUUUUUCCCUCAUCUCGUUACAAAUGAGCCAUUCAAGCUCAGUUAUUUACACAGAAUUUGCAGGAGGUAAUCUCCUGUCCCUCAAUCCCCAGGAAGGCCAUGGUAAAUAAAGGGCGAGCAGAA